UCCUGGCUCAGGAUGAACGCUGGCGGCGUGCUUAAUACAUGCAAGUCGAGCGAAGCACUUCAGCAGAUCCCUCGGGGUGAAGCCGGUGUGACUAGUGGCGGACGGGUGAGUAACGCGUGGGUAACCUGCCUUAUACAGGGGGAUAACAGCUGGAAACGACUGCUAAUACCCCAUAAGCGCACGGCACCGCAUGAUGCAGUGUGAAAAGAUUUAUCGGUAUAAGAUGGACCCGCGUCUGAUUAGUUAGUUGGCGGGGUAACGGCCCACCAAGACCGCGAUCAGUAGCCGACUUGAGAGAGUGAUCGGCCACAUUGGGACUGAGACACGGCCCAGACUCCUACGGGAGGCAGCAGUAGGGAAUAUUGCACAAUGGGGGAAACCCUGAUGCAGCCGACGCCGCGUGAGUGAUUGAAGUAUUUCGGUAUGUAAAGCUCUAUCAGCAGGGAAGAUAAUGACGGUACCUGACUAAGAAGCCCCGGCUAACUACGUGCCAGCCGCCGC
RNAcentral lists this ribosomal RNA (501 nucleotides) under uncultured bacterium. Its description in RNAcentral is "bacterial SSU rRNA". It matches the Rfam family "Bacterial small subunit ribosomal RNA", at positions 17 to 518 of the family's 1533-position model. The record is from RNAcentral.